RNAcentral lists this small RNA (146 nucleotides) under Serratia sp. TEL. RNAcentral's name for it is "RtT RNA". It matches the Rfam family "RtT RNA", at positions 22 to 130 of the family's 130-position model. From Rfam's summary of the family: This family represents a bacterial cis-regulatory element known as RtT RNA. The exact function of RtT is unknown although it is thought that it may be involved in changing the cellular response in relation to amino acid starvation. The record is from RNAcentral. Lineage: Bacteria; Pseudomonadati; Pseudomonadota; Gammaproteobacteria; Enterobacterales; Yersiniaceae.
CUUUUAAUCAAUUGGUCGCAGGUUCGAAUCCUGCACGACCCACCAAUCGUUCUGGUGGAACGCGAUAGUAAAACGUGAAGGAUAACGUUGCGCAAGCAACGGCCCGUAGGGCGAGACGAAGUCGAGUCAUCCUGCACGACCCACCA